Molecule: transfer RNA, 72 nt
Filed under: Haramonas pauciplastida
Lineage: Eukaryota; Raphidophyceae
Description: tRNA-Asn
Rfam family: tRNA
About the family: Transfer RNA (tRNA) molecules are approximately 80 nucleotides in length. Their secondary structure includes four short double-helical elements and three loops (D, anti-codon, and T loops).
Source: RNAcentral
UCCUCAGUAGCUCAGAGGUAGAGCGGUCGGCUGUUAACCGAUUUGUCGUUGGUUCAAAUCCAACCUGAGGAG